This 550-nucleotide ribosomal RNA is filed under the name Mycena epipterygia. Its description in RNAcentral is "partial small subunit ribosomal RNA". It matches the Rfam family "Bacterial small subunit ribosomal RNA", at positions 362 to 909 of the family's 1533-position model. The record is from RNAcentral. Lineage: Eukaryota; Fungi; Basidiomycota; Agaricomycetes; Agaricales; Mycenaceae.
UAUUAGUCAAUGCUCGCAAGAGUGAACUAGCUAACUGAAAUUAUAAUUAUCCGGAAGUUUCGGAAGAUGAUGUAAUAACGUAAGGGGAAAAUAAUGAUAUGCCCUAUUACUAUUAGUGCUGUCCAAAACUGGUGCCAGAAGACUCGGUAAGGCCAGAAGCGCAAACGUUAAUCGUAAUAAACAGGCGUAAAGGGUGUGUAGGCUGCUUUUUAAAACCUUUCUAUUUAAAAUAACUACUGUCACAUAAAAAUGCAGAUUAGAAAGAAAGGUAACUAGAAGCUAGAAUCUUAAGGAGGUCUAUCAGAAUAAUACUUAGUGUAGGGAUCGAAUCUUUAAAUAUUAAGGGGAAUACUAAAAGGUGUAAGCAUUUUUCCUAUAAUGAUUGACGCUGAGACACGAAGGUGGGGAAAGGAAAUAGGAUUAGAUACCCAAACUACCCCUCACAGUCAACGAUGAAUGGUAAAUAGUUAAUUUAUAAAAUUAGCAUUGAUGUUAACGCGAUAACCAUUCCGCCUUGCGAGUACGGUUGCAAAACUGAAACCAAAAAAAU